UAAUGGUCUCCCACGUAUUCCUUCACACCCUUCUCGCUCGUGCCUCGCCGGGUACCCGCCAGAAGACGUUUUGCAACGUGCUACAAACCUGUUUGUUCACCCUUCUGUUGUCACUGUACGAGGGUUCUCAUCGGCUGUGAUCGGCAUCAUGAUCGAAAACUACGAUACGAUUACCGCAGGAAAGCGACUUACGCCGGAGGAUUUAGACCAACACAUUAAGCGGCUAACAGCGCCACGGCGUGAGGUGGAACUGCGUGACCCGUUCGAGGUGUGUCCGACGAAGCGAAUCUCGCCGGAGGCGCUGUCGAGGAUGACGGACCGUCUCUAUACCCAGAGCCUCCAACACAAACAAGAGCGUCUUGCGGCGGCAGAGCAGGCCGCUUACGGUGCGCACACGCGCGGCACCUUACUCAGAUCCGCACCACUUUCACCACAGGACCAGGAGACAUCCGUGAGGCGAUUGUUCAACGAUGCACUCGAACGGAAGCAGACGAACAUGGAGCAGCUCCGCCGACAACACCAAUACCACCGCCCCACCAACGAGACAAAGGUCCCGCUAAACAUGUUCGUGCAACAUAUGUACUACGACCGCCUGGAGGCCAAGAAGAAGACGGAGAAACGCCUUUACGACACGUACCUGGCACCGACAGAAAUUCACACCGGCACCAUUUCUCGCGAGAAAGCCGACGAGGCAUCGAAUCGCCUGUGCACCACGAAGGCGGGGGCGUAGUUGUCGCGCGGCAAGUCGGUGCUCGUGUAGCCUUUUAUUUUUUUCUUUUCGUCGUAUGUACACUAUGUACGAAGUGUCUUCUCCGUACCCUCUCCCCAACGCUGCAGCUCGUAUCCUCCAUUCUGAUCGUGUGCGCUUGUGAGUGAUACCCGUUUGUGGCUGUCCAGCGAGC
Molecule: unclassified non-coding RNA, 902 nt
Filed under: Leishmania donovani
Lineage: Eukaryota; Euglenozoa; Kinetoplastea; Trypanosomatida; Trypanosomatidae
Description: gene:LdHU3.36.1690(CDS-product:hypothetical_prote in_conserved)
Source: RNAcentral